This 869-nucleotide ribosomal RNA is filed under the name uncultured Pseudomonadota bacterium. Its description in RNAcentral is "bacterial SSU rRNA". It matches the Rfam family "Bacterial small subunit ribosomal RNA", at positions 58 to 904 of the family's 1533-position model. The record is from RNAcentral. Lineage: Bacteria; Pseudomonadati; Pseudomonadota.
CAAGUCGAACGAGAAAGUCCCCUUCGGGGAAUGAGUAAAGUGGCGCCCGGGUGAGUAACACGUAGGUAAUCUACCUUCGGGUGGGGAAUAACNCAGGGAAACUUGCGCUAANACCGCAUAAUGCAGCGGCACCACAUGGUGACAGUUGUUAAAGCGGGGGAUUUUNGGAUCUCGCGCCUGAAGAGGAGCCUGCGGCGGAUUAGCUAGUUGGUAGGGUAACGGCUUACCAAGGCGACGAUCUGUAACCGGCCUGAGAGGGCGGUCGGUCACACUGACACUGACAUACGGGUCAGACUCCUACGGGAGGCAGCAGUCGGGAAUUUUGGGCAAUGGGCGAAAGCCUGACCCAGCAACGCCGCGUGAAGGAUGAAAUCCCUCGGGAUGUAAACUUCGCAAGAAUAGGAAGAAUNAANAAGCGCUAAUACCNUNNNUGAUGACGGUACUAUUUGUAAGCUCCGGCUAACUCCGUGCCAGCAGCCGCGGUAAUACGGGGGGAGCAAGCGUUGUUCGGAUUUACUGGGCGUAAAGGGCGCGUAGGCGGUCAGCACAAGUCAGUUGUGAAAUCUCCGGGCUUAACUCGGAAAGGUCAACUGAUACUGUGCGACUAGAGUGCAGAAGGGGCAACUGGAAUUCUCGGUGUAGCGGUGAAAUGCGUAGAUAUCGAGAGGAACACCUGCGGCGAAGGCGGGUUGCUGGGCUGACACUGACGCUGAUGCGCGAAAGCCAGGGGAGCGAACGGGAUUAGAUACCCCGGUAGUCCUGGCCUUAAACGAUGGAUGCUUGGUGUCUGGAGUUUUAUAGUCUCCGGGUGCCGUAGCUAACGCGUUAGCAUCCCGCCUGGGGAGUACGGUCGCAAGACUGAAACUCAA